GACGAACGCUGGCGGCGUGCUUAACACAUGCAAGUCGAACGGAAAGGCCCUUCGGGGGACUCGAGUGGGGAACGGGUGGGUAACACGGGGAUGAGCGGCCCUGCACUUUGUGAUAAGGCUGGGACACUGGGACUAAUACCGAAUAGGAGCACGAGAUACAUGGCGUGUGGGGGAAAGCUUUUGCGGCGUGGGUUAGGCCCGCGGCUUAUCAGCUUGUUGGUGGGGUAAUGGCCUACCAAGGCGAAGACGGGUAGCCGGCCCGGGAGGGUGACCGGCCACACUGGGACUGAGAUACGGACCAGACUGCUACCGGAGGCAGCAGUGGGGAACAUUGCACAGUGGGCGCAAGCGUGAUGUAGCGACGCCGCGUGAGGGAUGACGGCCUUUGGGUUGUAAACCUCUUUCAAUAGGGACGAAGCGCAAGUGACGGUACCUAUAGAAGAAGCACCGGCUAACUACGUG
RNAcentral lists this ribosomal RNA (462 nucleotides) under uncultured bacterium. Its description in RNAcentral is "partial 16S ribosomal RNA". It matches the Rfam family "Bacterial small subunit ribosomal RNA", at positions 28 to 507 of the family's 1533-position model. The record is from RNAcentral.